Long non-coding RNA from Rhincodon typus (whale shark), 2159 nucleotides. RefSeq lists it as uncharacterized. NCBI's taxonomy places the organism in Eukaryota, Metazoa, Chordata, Chondrichthyes, Orectolobiformes, Rhincodontidae. The record is from RefSeq and is a predicted model, not a curated record. The transcript has 2 exons.
GAGUCAUCUCAGUCACUGCUCCAGGAGCAAAUAAAUGGAAGGCAAGCUGCCAUUUUGAGAAGGGUAGCUUUCUGGUGGAGGUGCUGUUGGAGGAUUGAGUGUAGGUUUAAGUGAAUACUGGGCUUCAGUGAGGAGGAGCAAUUUUCUGCUGAAGACACAAGAAUAAAGGAGUGGUAGAAGGAAAUUUAACUGUGAGGUCACAGGCAUUGAUGAUUGGGUCUUAAAGAUGGACCAGAGACUGUUGGGAUCCUGCAACUCUGAGGGUUGCUAAGUUUGUGGAGACAGGUUUGUUGUAUGAGGCUAUUUUUUCUGGGUCUUUAAGUGCUUCAAUGCUGAACUUUUUCCAGCACCCUUCCACCAAAGGGACAAAUACAAGACGUGGCAGCACCCACACUCCAAACACCGGCACCUCCUUGACUACAUCAUCAGAUUGAGGGAUCGGAAAGUCUUUAAAAUCUCACAUGCCAUGACAGGAGCCAACAACUGCUGGAAGGACUGACCCAUGAUCAACAUCAAUAUAACAUGGCCAUGAAGGGACAGAUGUAAACAUUAGGACAAAUAUGUUAAAUUGAAGGCAUUAGAGAAAAAUGACAUGCAUCUUUCCUGAUCUCCACUUGCCAAACUGCUUUAUUGUCAAUGAUGUUCUUUUGAACUAUAGUCUGUGUUGCAAUUCUGUGACAUAGGAAACACAGAAGCCAAGUGCACAAAGCAAGUUCCUGCAAAAGUAAUGCGAUAACAAUCUGCUCUAAUGGCGUUGAUUUGAGGGAUAAAUAUUUUCCAGGGAAUUGAAGAAAUUUUCUGUUAUUUUACAAAAUAGUGCCAUAGAAACUUUCAUCUUCACCUGAGAGGGCACCAUAGAGCAGUUUAAUGUUUCAUCUGGUAAAUAGAACUUCAGAGUUCAGCAGUGUUUUGAUAAUCAUAAAUUUAUUGAUGUGAGAUGGGGCAUAUUGGAGUAGUCAGAGAUAACAAAAGCAUAGAUGAGAAUUUUAGCAGCAGAUGGGUUGAGGCAGGGAUGGAGGCAAGCAAUAUCAGGUGGAGAGGAGGAGGGUUAACAAGUCAGCUUGAGAUCAAAUUGGCUUUGGUCAAUAUAGCUCAACCUGGGAAGAGGACCAAAAUCUGUGCAAACAGUUUCCUGUACAUAGCAGGGUCACACACAAUGGCUACUGUCUUCCCAAUGCUUAGCUGAAGGAUGCUAUAGUUCAGUCAAAAUUGGACGUUGGGCAAGCUGUCUGACAACAUCAAGGCAGCUGAUGAAAACAUAAGAAUCGUCAUUGUUAAAAUACAAAUGGCAACUGACUCCAUGCAUUCUGAUGAUUCACCAAAGGGCACCAUGUGGAUUAAGAAAACGGUAUCUACAUAUUUCCAUUGACUUCUGGUCUAACAGAUAGAGAAGCUGCAGCUGAAGGCAACCAAUGGGCAGGUAAAAAUGGAACAAAACAAAAUUAGUCCCACUGAGUUUCAAAUACAAGAGAUAUGGUCUAUCGUGUCAAAGAUGAUAGGAAGGACCUAUUGGAAUAAUGCAUCAUUGUCACAGUCACUGAGGAUGAAACUGGUGACUCUAAUGAGACUUGCUUCAAUACUGUGGUAGAGGUGGGAGUCUGACUAGAAAAAUUCAAAGGAUUUGGAAAGAAAGGGGAGGUUGGGGAUGGGUUGAUACUUUACUAGACAUUGUGAUUUAGAAUGUUUAUCCAUUGUGUGCGUGGGGGUGUCAGUUGAUGAUGGCAACUGAAAUAAGGAGAGAAACUGAGUGUUUGUUGCUUUCAUGGAAAUGAUGGUCAAAGGAUCAAGCCUCCCUUUUGGAUCUCAAGGAUGUGUUUUAACUCUUGAGGGCAAGUUAGAAGACAGGAUGUCAACCAGAAAACAAUUGUUCACUUCUCUCAAAACUCGUUAUGGACUCUGUUUCCAAUAUGGUUUCUGAUAAGUCAUUGAGUAUCCAAGCAAACUCUAAGCCUAGCCAAUCAAUGAUCUUCUGAGUUUGAAUUCAGGCAUUCACUGAUCACGAAGUAUCUUUCCUUUACCAAAAAUUCUAAUAGUAAGCAAAGUCUCAUACCUGACACCAUCUUAAUAAAUGUCUUUCUAUAUUUUCAUUGGCCUUGAUGUUAUUCCUAAAGCAAAACACCAAAUACCAGAAACACAUGCACUGUGAUAAAUGUUUUACA